GAGAUAUUAGUAAAAAAAAUUACAUAACUUUGUCAAAGUUAAAUUAUAGACCAAACCCUAUAUAUCUCA
This 69-nucleotide transfer RNA is filed under the name Alouatta seniculus puruensis. Its description in RNAcentral is "tRNA-Asp". Lineage: Eukaryota; Metazoa; Chordata; Mammalia; Primates; Atelidae. The record is from RNAcentral.